AUGAACUUCGCCAUCCCCUCCUCCUUCAGGCGCUACGACCUGUACAUCGACUUGAACCAGUCCAUCCUGUUCCUCCGCCGAGCUCAGGACAAGGUCGACAGGAGGCUGUCCGGCCUUCACCCUGUGGUCGCCGCUCUGCAGGAACAGGCAGCACGCCUAGAGGAAAGUAACGACGCACGGGGUGAGUCGUCCAGCGCCCCAGACGCUCAACAUCGCCAGGUCCUUGUGGACAUCUACCUCCGCACUCGCGCACUCUGCUGGCAACUCCACGUACAACGUUUUGAUCCCCUGCAUCGCCAAUCAUCUGGAGCUGCUCCGAGCUUCCCUGGCCGCACCCCUGGCCCUUCCAUACGAGUGGUUCACUGGAGUUAUCAACAUCUGUUCGCUCCGUGA
Molecule: ribosomal RNA, 393 nt
Filed under: Triticum aestivum (bread wheat)
Lineage: Eukaryota; Viridiplantae; Streptophyta; Magnoliopsida; Poales; Poaceae
Description: partial small subunit ribosomal RNA
Source: RNAcentral